UACGUAGGUGGCGAGCGUUGUCCGGAUUUACUGGGCGUAAAGAGCGCGCAGGCGGUCGUACAAGUCGCGUGUGAAAGCCCCCGGCUCAACUGGGGAGGGUCACGCGAUACUGUUCGACUCGAAGGCAGGAGAGGGAAGCGGAAUUCCCGGUGUAGUGGUGAAAUGCGUAGAUAUCGGGAGGAACACCAGUGGCGAAGGCGGUUCUCUGGGCCUGUACUGACGCUGAGGAGCGAAAGCGUGGGGAGCGAACAGG
This 253-nucleotide ribosomal RNA is filed under the name uncultured bacterium. Its description in RNAcentral is "partial 16S ribosomal RNA". It matches the Rfam family "Bacterial small subunit ribosomal RNA", at positions 524 to 776 of the family's 1533-position model. The record is from RNAcentral.